CCCUUAGAUGUUCUGGGCCGCACGCGUGCUACACUGAGUGGAUCAGCGGGUCAGGUUGCGCGAAAGCGUUUCCUAAUCUUGAAAUCCGCUCGUGAUGGGGAUUGACGGUUGCAAUUUUCUGUCAUGAACGAGGAAUACCUUGUAAGCGCGAGUCAUCAUCCCGCGCUGAAUACGUCCCUGCCCUUUGUACACACCGCCCGUCGCUCCUACCGAUUGAGUGGUCCGGUGAGGCUUUGGGAUCUGGACGGAAAGAGCGUUUCGCUUGUUCUGUUUGGGAAACUUGGUCGAACCUUAUCAUUUAGAGGAAGGAGAAGUCGUAACA
This 322-nucleotide ribosomal RNA is filed under the name uncultured eukaryote. RNAcentral's name for it is "partial 18S ribosomal RNA". It matches the Rfam family "Eukaryotic small subunit ribosomal RNA", at positions 1470 to 1796 of the family's 1831-position model. The record is from RNAcentral.